This 253-nucleotide ribosomal RNA is filed under the name uncultured bacterium. Its description in RNAcentral is "partial 16S ribosomal RNA". It matches the Rfam family "Bacterial small subunit ribosomal RNA", at positions 524 to 776 of the family's 1533-position model. The record is from RNAcentral.
UACGUAGGGUGCGAGCGUUGUCCGGAAUUAUUGGGCGUAAAGAGCUUGUAGGCGGUUUGUCGCGUCUGCUGUGAAAUUUCGGGGCUCAACCCCGAACUUGCAGUGGGUACGGGCAGACUAGAGUGUGGUAGGGGAGACUGGAACUCCUGGUGUAGCGGUGAAAUGCGCAGAUAUCAGGAGGAACACCGAUGGCGAAGGCAGGUCUCUGGGCCACUACUGACGCUGAGAAGCGAAAGCAUGGGGAGCGAACAGG